AACGAACGCUGGCGGCAUGCCUAACACAUGCAAGUCGAACGACACCUUCGGGUCUAGUGGCGCACGGGUGCGUAACGCGUGGUAACCUGCCCUUAGGUUCGGAAUAACUCCCCGAAAGGGGUGCUAAUACCGGAUAAUGUCUUCAGACCAAAGAUUUAUCGCCUUUGGAUGGGCCCGCGUUGGAUUAGCUAGUUGGUAGGGUAAAAGCCUACCAAGGCGACGAUCCAUAGCUGGUCUGAGAGGAGGAUCGGCAACACUGGGACUGAGACACGUCCCAGACUCCUCCGAGAGGGGGCAGGAGGGACUAUUGGACAAUGGGCGAAAGCCUGAUCCAGCAACGCCGCGGGAGUCAGGAUGGCCGGAGGGUUGUUAAGCUCUGUGGCACGCGGUGUUAGGCACAGUACCGUCGGAACAACGUCCGGCUCAACCCGUG
RNAcentral lists this ribosomal RNA (433 nucleotides) under uncultured bacterium. Its description in RNAcentral is "partial 16S ribosomal RNA". It matches the Rfam family "Bacterial small subunit ribosomal RNA", at positions 29 to 507 of the family's 1533-position model. The record is from RNAcentral.